AUGUUACUACGCCUCCUCGCGCUGAUCUUUGCCGCCGUCUUGGCGGCGUCCUCGAGCUCCGUCGAUGCCCGUGUCCUUCACCCUAUCUUCCUCCCCUUCGGCGACAAUGGCCGUCGCCUGAUCGGCAUCCAGCGCUGCGAAGAAUGCUUCGGCAUAUGUCAAGAGGUGCACUACAGGACGCUGUGUAGCACGAUGGCGACGCUGCCCGGGGUGACGACCCCGCAGCAGCUCCUGGACACGGCCCUGCGGAUGACGGCGGCCAAGUCGGCGAUGACGGAGAUGCGGCUCGACGAGGCGAUGAGGGCAGGCCUGGGCAACACCAUCCCGAUGAUGUCGUCGCUGCAGUCGUGCAGGGACAGCUACGCGUCGCUGACGGACUCGCUGGGGAAGUCGCGGACGACGCUCAAGAAGGGGGGCAGCCGCGACGAUCUCAUGUCGGAGCUGUCGGCGGCCAGCACCUACUCCACCGACUGCCGGGACAUCUUCGGCGAGCGCCCGGAGCUCAAGUCGCCGAUACGCGGCGCGCAGCGCCACAUCACGCGCCUCGUCAGCAACUGCCUCGACCUGGCUACCGCCAUCAGGCAGCCCUGA
Molecule: ribosomal RNA, 591 nt
Filed under: Triticum aestivum (bread wheat)
Lineage: Eukaryota; Viridiplantae; Streptophyta; Magnoliopsida; Poales; Poaceae
Description: partial small subunit ribosomal RNA
Source: RNAcentral